This 497-nucleotide ribosomal RNA is filed under the name uncultured bacterium. RNAcentral describes it as "partial 16S ribosomal RNA". It matches the Rfam family "Bacterial small subunit ribosomal RNA", at positions 28 to 507 of the family's 1533-position model. The record is from RNAcentral.
GAUGAACGCUGGCGGCGUGCCUAAUACAUGCAAGUCGAGCGAACAGACGAGGAGCUUACUCCUCUGACGUUAGCGGCGGACGGGUGAGUAACACGUGGAUAACCUACCUAUAAGACUGGGAUAACUUCGGGAAACCGGAGCUAAUACCGGAUAAUAUAUUGAACCGCAUGGUUCAAUAGUGAAAGACGGUUUUGCUGUCACUUAUAGAUGGAUCCGCGCCGCAUUAGCUAGUUGGUAAGGUAACGGCUUACCAAGGCAACGAUGCGUAGCCGACCUGAGAGGGUGAUCGGCCACACUGGAACUGAGACACGGUCCAGACUCCUACGGGAGGCAGCAGUAGGGAAUCUUCCGCAAAGGGCGAAAGCUUGACGGGGCAACGCCGCGUGAGUGAUGAAGGUCUUCGGAUCGUAAAACUCUGUUAUUAGGGAAGAACAAAUGUGUAAGUAACUAUGCACGUCUUGACGGUACCUAAUCAGAAAGCCACGGCUAACUACGUG